AGAGUUUGAUCAUGGCUCAGGACGAACGCUGGCGGCGUGCCUAAUACAUGCAAGUAGAACGCUGAAGUCUGGUGCUUGCACCGGAUGGAUGAGUUGCGAACGGGUGAGUAACGCGUAGGUAACCUACCUCAUAGCGGGGGAUAACUAUUGGAAACGAUAGCUAAUACCGCAUAACAGUCUUUAACUCAUGUUAGAGUCUUGAAAGGGGCAAUUGCUUCACUAUGAGAUGGACCUGCGUUGUAUUAGCUAGUUGGUGAGGUAACGGCUCACCAAGGCGACGAUACAUAGCCGACCUGAGAGGGUGAUCGGCCACACUGGGACUGAGACACGGCCCAGACUCCUACGGGAGGCAGCAGUAGGGAAUCUUCGGCAAUGGGGGCAACCCUGACCGAGCAACGCCGCGUGAGUGAAGAAGGUUUUCGGAUCGUAAAGCUCUGUUGUAAGAGAAGAACGUGUGUGAGAGUGGAAAGUUCACACAGUGACGGCAUCUUACCAGAAAGGGACGGCUAACUACGUGCCAGCAGCCGCGGUAAUACGUAGGUCCCGAGCGUUGUCCGGAUUUAUUGGGCGUAAAGCGAGCGCAGGCGGUUUGAUAAGUCUGAAGUUAAAGGCUGUGGCUCAACCAUAGUACGCUUUGGAAACUGUCAAACUUGAGUGCAGAAGGGGAGAGUGGAAUUCCAUGUGUAGCGGUGAAAUGCGUAGAUAUAUGGAGGAACACCGGUGGCGAAAGCGGCUCUCUGGUCUGUAACUGACGCUGAGGCUCGAAAGCGUGGGUAGCGAACAGGAUUAGAUACCCUGGUAGUCCGCGCCGUAAACGAUGAGUGCUAGGUGUUAGGCCCUUUCCGGGGCUUAGUGCCGCAGCU
Molecule: ribosomal RNA, 863 nt
Filed under: uncultured bacterium
Lineage: Bacteria
Description: bacterial SSU rRNA
Rfam family: Bacterial small subunit ribosomal RNA
Source: RNAcentral